AUUGAACGCUGGCGGCAGGCCUAACACAUGCAAGUCGAACGGUAACAGGAAGACGCUUGCUUCUUUGCUGACGAGUGGCGGACGGGUGGGUAAUGUCUGGGAAACUGCCUGAUGGAGGGGGAUAACUACUGGAAACGGUAGCUAAUACCGCAUAACGUCGCAAGACCAAAGAGGGGGACCUUCGGGCCUCUUGCCAUCGGAUGUGCCCAGAUGGGAUUAGCUAGUAGGUGGGGUAACGGCUCACCUAGGCGACGAUCCCUAGCUGGUCUGAGAGGAUGACCAGCCACACUGGAACUGAGACACGGUCCAGACUCCUACGGGAGGCAGCAGUGGGGAAUAUUGCACAAUGGGCGCAAGCCUGAUGCAGCCAUGCCGCGUGUAUGAAGAAGGCCUUCGGGUUGUAAAGUACUUUCAGCGGGGAGGAAGGGAGUAAAGUUAAUACCUUUGCUCAUUGACGUUACCCGCAGAAGAAGCACCGGCUAACUCCGUG
This 490-nucleotide ribosomal RNA is filed under the name uncultured bacterium. Its description in RNAcentral is "partial 16S ribosomal RNA". It matches the Rfam family "Bacterial small subunit ribosomal RNA", at positions 30 to 507 of the family's 1533-position model. The record is from RNAcentral.